UUUUAAAGCGCUCUGAAAAAAGUUUUGACUUUUUAAUUUUUUUUACUAUGACAGAAUCUUAGUUGACUGAUGGUCUUUGACAAAGACAGACUUGUUUUUGUGAGCUCUGAACAAAAUUUGACUUUGAAAUAUUUUUACGAUUAAAAAGUUUCAGUUGACUUUUGAACGUUGACGAAGACGGACGUACUUUCGUGAGCUCUGACUAUUGAUGAAAAGUUUUCGCGUUAUAGAAUAGCGACUUGGUACUCAGGUUGUUGAAUGACUGGAUGACUGUAGUGUUAGGUUAUUGUUAUGAGAUAACAACUUGACUUUGACUUGAGUUGUGAAAUGAAAUCAUACUCUUAUGCGAUGAUAACUUUUGAACGUUUAGUACUGACUGACAACGAAUUUUUGUGAGCGUUAUAAUAUGAAAUGUUUGACUUACAUUAAUUUUUUUGAACGACUUGACUUCACUUUAAGUUUUGACAUCGGACUGAUCGGACGUGUUUUUUUAAGCCCUGACUGUUGUGAAUAAUUAAAUUUAUGUUGUGGUGUCAAGCGAUUGACUGUCAGUUGAGGUUCAGAUGUCGAGCUGUGCGGACGUGUUCAUCGAGCUGCUGUCUACAAAAAACGUGAGUACAAAUUUUUUUCGUUUUACUGUUUACAAGUUGCGUGAUGAUGUAUGAUGGUUGUAAUGUGUUGGGUAGAAAUUACUCAGUGCUGUUGUAAUGUGUUGGGUAGAAAUUACUCAGUGCUGAUACAGUGUCGAUAUGUUGUGAUGAGCGAUAAUAGUGGAUGAUGGUGGAACAGAAUAUUCAUUGAGCUAUUUUGAGGAAGCGAACAUAUGAUGGAAAAAUGUUGCAAAAAUAUUAAAUGACAAUGUAUUGAAUCGCUUUUGUUGAUAUGUAUGAUAUUGAUUAAAUUGUAUUUGCAUGCUGUAACAUUUCUAUUCCAUUUCAGGGGGCUGUGGUGAGUAUUGUAGUAUAAAUUUGUUUCAAUAAAUCAUGAUGAAUGAAAACUGAUUUCGAUUCGUUUUGUACAGGUUUACUUGUAUAGAAGUGUAAUGCGUUGGGUAGAAAUUAGAAUCUACUCAGUACUGAUAUAGUGUCGAUAUGUUGUGAUUAGCGAUGAUGGUGUAUGAUGGUGGAACAGAACAUGAGCUACUUUGGGGAAACGAACAUAUGAUUGAAAAAUGAUUGCAAACAUAGUAGAUGAAUGAUAUGAUAUUGCUUAAAUUGUAUUUGCAUGCUGUAACAUUUCUAUUCCAUUUCAGUGCACUGUGGUGAGUAUUGACUAUUGUAGUAUAAAUUUGUUUCAAUAAACGAUGAUGAAUGAAAACUGAUUUCGAUUCGUUUUGUGUAAUUUUAGGGAUUUUCACUCUAUAACAACUCUGUCGGUUGGUGUUCAUGAGUGCGAGCUUAAUACAGCAAUGUUUGAGUAGUACAAAAUUGUUUUCGCUUUUGUGGUCGCCAGCUGUCCGUGAUCUGUAAAGUGAAAAUACACAGAGCUAUGAAGCAUAAAAAUGUUUCGAAAUUUUAUCAAUGAUUGUAUACUAUGCAUGUUUUGAUUUAGUUCGUUUCAGAUUUGACAUGAGAUGAAAACCUGACAUGAUUUGAACAGAGCUGGGAAACGAAAAGAUUUUCAGAUGUGUGCUGGCAGUUCAAGUCUGGCAGCUGGAGUGAACAGUCGUGUUUUCUGGAGCUCCAACAAUAUGCUAGAAGGUAAGUAACUAUGUUUGUUUUGCAUUGCAUGUUUUAUAUGUUUCAGACUUUCAAGCAGAGAUGUCAUGCUGACUGGAGUUGAGCACAGGGCAGUGACAAAGUGAAAGGUAAGUACUUUUGACUGAAUGUUUGUUCUAUGCAUGUUUUGUUUUAAUACAUUUCAGGAGUGCUUAUCCAGUGAUGAUAUGACAGUUGGAGUGAACAGUGGAGCCAAGCAGUCUUGUUUUUGGAGCUACUCAACAAGCCUUGAAGGUAAGUUUAGAAUUUCUCAAUGUUAGUGAAUUGAAGUACUGUCACUUGCUUUUGGACAGUCGAACAGAACAGACGUGGUUGCGAGAGCUCUCAUAUCUGUUGUGUUAAACUGUUUUUAUGAUAUGUUAUGUUUGUUUGUUUGUUUGUGAUGUACUAUUUUUCAGAUGCUGAUGGCAGUGAUGGGUUUUCAAGCUGACCUGAACAGAAAAGCACUCAUAUGGUAAGUACAAAAUAGUUGUUAUAUGGGAUGUUUUGUGCAUGCUUUUAUGUUUCAGGUGUACUUGCUGACAGCGACGAAGACGAAUCAAGAAGAGGAACAUUGUUGAGAAAGUGAUUGGGACUUGCAAACAGGGUAAGUGUAACACUUGUGUUUGUUUAAUUUGUAACAUGCGUGCUUUGCUCUGUUUCAGAUUUCACAUGCAGAAAUUAAACAGGAUUUCAACUGCUGAGACACAAUUCAUCAAAAGUAAGGUAAGUUUUAAUUCAUUGAUUUGAGUUGUACAAUGUGUUCUUUACUUUAUUUCAGAUUCGAGUCACUGGUUUACACAUGGAAGAAGAUUUCCGCGUCUGUUACUCAACUCUACAGAAGCAAGGUAAGUCGAUCAAAUUUUUGUUUUCAUUUGUACUGCUGUAAUGUGAUGGUAAACUUAUGCUAUUUUUCAUGUGUGUCAUGUACAGAUGGAUAAUUCAAGUUUGAUCUGUGUUGGUUUAUGUUCAAAAACGUUUUACAUGUAUGUGUGUUUGAAGAUGUUUUGUUUCAGUGGAUGUCCAGAUGGCAAGCAGUACAGACGUGUUUCUUGGAGCUGCCAAACAGUGAGUACAAACGUUUUAUAUUUUUCAGUUGUUUACUCAUAGAAGUCUGUGAAAGAUGAUAACAAGGGUUGAAUCUAUCAGUACUUGUGUCUAAAAAUGCUGAUGUGUGACGGUUUACUGAAAAGGGUAAAUGCUAGCCAGUACUAACACUUGAGCAACCGUGGGAUGUCGAACUAACUGAUGAUGUACUAUGAUGGUGAACACUUACUAUGUGUAUCGAAAUGCUUUUGUUGAUAUUUAUUAUAGAUGAUUUGAUAUUGGUUAACAUUUGUUUGCAUGCUGUUAACAUUUCUAUUUCAUUUCAGGGAGCUGUGGUGAGUAUUGUAGUAUACAUUUGUUUCAAUAAUGUUUGAGUAGUACAAAAAUGUCUUUACUUUUGUGAUCGCCAGUUGUCUGUGAUAUGUAACGUAAACAAAAAACACAGCUAUGAAGCAUACAAUUGUUUCGAAAUUUUAUCAAUGAUUGUAUACUAUGCAUGUUUUGAUUUAGUUCGUUUCAGAUAUGACAUGACAUGAAGAGUUGACAGUCGAACAGAGCUGAGCAACGCAAAAAGGUAAGUGUGUUUCAUUUUAGUAUGAACACUUGUAUUUUGUUUUUAUAUGGUAUGUUUUGUACAUGCUAUGUUUCAGGUGUACUUGUAGUCAGCGACGAAGACGAUUCAAGAAGAGGAACAUUGCUGAGAAAGUGAAUGGGACUUGCAAACAGGGUAAGUGUUACAAUUGUUUGUUUGAUUUUUACCAUGCAUACUUUGCUUUGCUCUGUUUCAGAUUUCACAUGCAGAAAUGGUCUCAUAGCAGUGCCAACAGUGAAUAAGGAUUUCAGCUGCUGUGAAACAACUCAACAGAAAGUAGGUAAGCAUUGAAUGAAUGCACUUGAGUUGUACAAUUUGAUGUGAUGCUUUUCUCUGUUUCAGAUUCAAGUUCCUGGUGUAGACAGAGAAAUGUGUUUGAAGAAGGAAUUCUACUACUGUGAUUCAACUCUACAGAAGCAAGGUAAGUAGAAACAAAAUUUUGGUUUAAUUUAACUCAUGUGUUUUGCACUGCAUGCUAUUUUUCAGGUCUCUCAUGCAGUGAUGGAAAAAAAGAAGAUUUCAAGAAAGAAUCACUGCUGCAACUCAGGCCUAUAACAAGGUAAGUGUUUACUAUAUUGUAUACAAAAUGUUUCUCUGUUUUACUCUGUUUCAGGUUUCAAUUGCAGAGAUGUUGCAGAGAUGUUUUGACAGCUUGUGGCAGAAAAGAAAUUCAGCAUCUGUUUCUCGACUCUAGCCACGAGGUAAGUCAAAACAAAUAUACUGGUUUGUAUGUAAUGUUGUUAUGCCCUUCUAUGUUUCAGACUUACAUUGCUGUGACUGUUCCACAGUGGGUCAAAAAAGAGACGAAUACAGGUUUCAAGAAGAAAAUUGGCUGUUAAAAACCUGCACAAAAUAUGAGGUAAGUAAACUACUCUUUUGGUUUGUUUUGUGCUUUGUUAUGCUUAACUAUUUUUCAGAUUGGAAUGGUGGGUCGUUACAGAGCAGACUUUCGGACUACUGAGAAGUUGAGAAACAGAGAAUGAUUCAAGAUCAGCUAGGUAAGUCUUGAUUAUUAUGCAUUGCUAAAUGUUUUUUUCAUUCCAGUAUGGCUGUGGUAAGUACACAAACUUUCUAUAAUUUAAUAUUGAACUGUUUUUAUGACCUGUAUUCUGCAUUGUAAAAUGUCUGUUUUUCAUUUCAGUAUCCUGUGGUAAGUACACUAACUUUGUAUAAUUUCAUAUUGAAAUGUUUUGAUGACUUGUAUCCUGCUAUGCAAUGCUUAAUAUAUUUUUCAUUUCAGUGUGGCUGUGGUACGUACACUAACUUUCUUUUCUUUUUCAUAUUGAACUGUUUUGGUGACUUGUAUUCUGCUAUACAAAAUGUGUUUUUUUCAUUUCAGUUGCCUGUGGUAAGUACAAUUGCCUUCUUUAAUUUUCAUAUUGAACUGUUUUGAUGACUUGUAUACUGCAUUGUAAAAUGUGUUUCUUUUUCAUUUCAGUAUGGCUGUGGUAAGUACAAUUGCCUUCUUUAAUUUUCAUAUUGAACUGUUUUGAUGACUUUUAUUCUGCCAUACAAAAUGUGUUUUUUUUCAUUUCAGUUGCCUGUUGGUAAGUACAAUUUGCUUUCUUUAAUUGCAUAUUGAAAUAUGUUUUAUGACUUUUAUUCUGCUAUGCUUUUUUCAUUUCAGUUUGGCAGAUGUAAGUACACUUCAUUUAUGUAAAAACUGAAUAUGAUUGUUGUGCUAUACAAAAUGUGCUUUUCUCAAUUUCGGGUCAGCAAUGGUAAGUAGAUUGUGUUUCUUUAUGUAUAAUUUUGUAUACAUAUUGUUUUUUUCAUCAUAGCAUGUUUUUCAUAUUUAUGCUUUGUGUAAGUAAAAUGUUCAUAAAUCAUUCUUAUCUUAAAACUAAAAAUGUAUUGUGCUAUGCAAAAUGUCUGUAUGAUUUCAGUUGCCAGAGGUGAGUACCAUUACAGUUGAAAAGUUAGUUUUGUUUAGUUCAAGUUUUGGUUCACAGUUCUGUUUGUUAUUUGGCAAAAUUUACAUGUAUGCAUUGAGUCUUGAUUUCAGCUCGAUUGUGGACUGAAGAAGAUUGUCCGCAGAGGGAUUGGAUACAAAAUACAAAGUAAGUACUGAGUUUCUUACUAAAAGUUUUGAGUUGUAUUCAUUGUGUGUUAAUAUGCUAUGAUUGCUAUGAACAUGACUUUUGUAUUUCAGCGAAGACAACAUAGGUAAGUAAAAUUGUUAUCUGUUUCAUGUUUACUGUUACAGUUCAAUAUUGUGUUUAUAAAUUGUAAGUUGUACAAACACAUUCAAAAGUUUCUGAUCAUGCUUUCGAUUUCAUUUCAGCUUUACUGCUGGACGAGUGUUCUCUACUACUAGACGUGUCAGGUUUACUACCAGGCGAGCAGUGACAACAAGGCGCCUUUGUGGAAACAGCAAAACAAACAACUCUACUGCAAGACGAGCAGUAACAGCAAGGCGCCUGAACAUGCAACACAAUACAAAAAAUGCCAAUUUGCAAACCUUGAUGUGGACACCGAGUAGUCAAUACAUACGUGUGGCGUAUAGCUGCGACAAAACCGUGGGUCCAUCGCACCGAUAACUUGAACAUUGGCCCGUGUAUGGACAUCAGUGCAACUUUGUGAAUCCAUGUAACUUUGUGAAUCCAUGUAACAUUGCGAAUGUGUGUCGAUCGAAAAAUGUGUACAUUCUGCACUGAAACGAACUCGGUGUUGCAAGUGGCAAGUGUUGACAGUGUGUAUGUUUAUGUUUAUGUUUUUACAUGAAAAAUAAAGGAGAUUGUUGUUUUA
This is a long non-coding RNA of Dreissena polymorpha, 6084 nucleotides long. RefSeq lists it as uncharacterized. The record is from RefSeq and is a predicted model, not a curated record. The transcript has 4 exons. Lineage: Eukaryota; Metazoa; Mollusca; Bivalvia; Myida; Dreissenidae.